RNAcentral lists this transfer RNA (73 nucleotides) under Mus musculus (house mouse). Its description in RNAcentral is "tRNA-Asn". Lineage: Eukaryota; Metazoa; Chordata; Mammalia; Rodentia; Muridae. The record is from RNAcentral.
GGAGAGAUGGCUCAGUGGUUAAGAGCACUGACCAUUCUUCCAGAAGUCCUGAGUUCAAUUCCCAGCAACCACA